This is a non-coding RNA of Taeniopygia guttata (zebra finch), 4410 nucleotides long. The record is from RefSeq and is a predicted model, not a curated record. NCBI's taxonomy places the organism in Eukaryota, Metazoa, Chordata, Aves, Passeriformes, Estrildidae.
ACAAAAGUAAGAUUUUGUGUAACACUUUUGAGUGUAAUUAUUUCUUGAAACACAUCUUGUUUAUUUUUACUAAUGAUUUGUAAAUCUUGUUGCAAAUUGGUAGCUAAAUGAAAAGUAUGUAUGUUAACGUUUUCUACUUUGGCAAUUACAUUUUUAAUUUAUGAUUACCCUUCACAGUAUUAGGUCAUUUGCUCUUACAUAUUCAAUAAAAAUUUGAAGGAAUAAAGACAGAAAUGAAGUGAUCUACUAUGAAACAAUUCUUUUAAUGUGUUUUAGGAAGACACAAUGAAUAUACCUCACUGUACUGCAUUGUAUUUGUUUCAUCUAAGACCUGUGAUGUUAGGAGUUUCAUGUGGGGAAAUAUCAUCUUUUUUUAUUGAUGUGUAUUUAGUGCUUUGAAAGGAGCAUAAACUCCACAAUAUAGGUGAUUUAGAUUAAAUUGUUGCUAACAAUUCUUUUCAAAUUUCAAUCCAGACAUCAACUGUUCUUCAAUAUUAAAGUUCUUGAACAUGUACCUUAUUUAGUUUUAAUGAUGAAGUUGUCUUGUAGGUUUAACAAAUGCAUACGUAGCAACAAAAUCUUCAAAUUAUGUAAAGUACAUUUUAUAAAAUAAUAAUUUGAGAGAAGAAACUGAAUAGAUAACAAAUAUGUGAAAAAAUUAUUCAGCUAUUUAAUGUUGUGAAUGAUUAAUUUUUUAACUCAGUACAAAAAAGGUAGAUUUUUUUAAAGUUGUUAUAGUAAAAAAAAUUAAUUCAUUUCUACAAGUGGAGUCCUUAAUGGGGUGUUAGACUAUUUCAUUCACUACAGAAACAGGAUCUUGAUAAUGUUAAAUGAAAAAUAUUUAAUAACAUGCAGAAACACUUCAUAACAGUACAAUGAAGUUUAUGUUUUGCUAAAAGUGAAAUUGUAUUUUUUGUGUGAAUCAUAAGGAAAAUUAUAUUACAUGUAGUGCAGUUUCUAUUUCAAUACAGCAAAUGCUUUUAUUUCUGUUGCCAUAAAAUAAACUUCAAGUCAUUAACUCUGGAAAGUUUAUAUGGUCAGGAAUCAUGAUCAGGGUACCUCCAAAUCUCCAUCCUACUGCUUGAUUUUUAGGUCCGUAAGACAUGGAAGGAUAAAAAUAUUAUUCUGUAGCUAUUCCUUUGUACCACUUCUGCAAAGAGCAAAGUAGCUACCCUGGGCAUUUCAGACUUCUGCCUUCAUAAUGUUGGCAUCCAUUAUCUGAGCCCCAGACAGAAAUGAUCAAGCUUAUUGUUAUAACUGCUUCUUUUCCUUCCCAGUGACCUUGAAAUAUGUUUCAUUAUUAUUUAACUCUUCGCCCACUGCUGACUGGCUCCUGUUAUUCUUAGAGGAAUAGGUUAAUCCUGUAGUUUAUGGGUUACAUAUAAUAAGCCACAGAAGGAGGAAGGAACUGCUCUAUUUUUUUCUCUGGGAAAUUAAAUCAAGAUUAAUUAAAGCAAGCAGGAACAGUAGGAUUGUGCUUUUAGGAGUUAGAAUUGUGUUUUCCUUUCACGUCAUCCACACCUUAUGCUAUCUGAUUUCAGACCAGUUAGUUUUGUGCCUUCUAGCUGAUAUCAUAUGAUAUUUAGAUAUUUUGCUGUAGGGUUUUUUCCAUAUUACUUCUUUUCAAAAUUCCUUCCAUUAUUUUUUCCAAUUGCAUUUGUAUUAUCCCUUUAUUUGCCAAGGUCAAAAGUCUUUAUAUUUCCUUGUGCAAUUUAAAAAAAAAAAAAAAUUUGCUUCUCUGCCAUGUCUUUAUGACUCUUAAUAUCUAACUUGGUGUUGGUGUUUUUUCUAUCAGUGUAAUUCAUGUUUUUCCACUGCUACAGAAUCAAAAAUUUCAGCUGUCUUCUGUGUGGGUGUCCUUGAAAAUUCCUUUUCCAAGGAUCUCAACUGCCUUGUGGAACAUGAUUACAGAAAUCUGUAUAAAUAGACUGUAGGUAAAUGAUCAUUGUCUUCUUUCUUCUAUUCCAUCACAAAAUUUCCUGAGAAAAGAGUACAUCUCCUCCCCUCAGAGGUGCUAGAAAUAGAAAAGCUGAUUGUUGCUAAGAUGAUGAGCAAGUAGAACACCUUAUCCAGGUAGUGUGCUUUACCAGUCUAAAAUUGAUCCAAACAAGUAAGUUCUAGAAGGAAAUUUAAAUCUGAAAUCUAUCUAGCAUACAAAUGUGUUAACCAAGCACAUACCUAAGCCAAUGUCUACAUCUGUUAUUCAGAGAAUAAAAUAGAAAAGAUCGAUUAAAUGCCAGCAGAGGACUUGUACUGGUUUAAUGUCACUAUGUACCCCUCUGACCCACACUGUACUGUCACUGUUCCUGCCCUCCCUUUAGUGCUGACCCAUAGUAUACUACAAAUAUACAGGCUAGACAUUAGGGAAAAGAAAUGCUCACAGAAAGAGUGGAUGGGUACUGGAAUGGGCUGCCCAGAAGGCGGUUUAGUCACUGUCCCUGGGGUGUUUAAUAAAAGACUGCAUGUGGCCAUGGUUUAGUUGAUAAGGUAGUGUUGAUCAUAGGUCGAACAUGAUGAUCUGAUUCUGUGACAAGUUCUUCAUCCAUGCCAGCUGAGCUCCAUGCAUGCUAACAGAUCAUUGACACAGACAACAACACCCCCAUGACCUCUUCCCUGCCCAUCCUUCAUAAAGAGCCAGUAGCCUUCCAUUCUAACCUUCCAUUUGUAGAAGCCAUCCCAUCACGUCUCUGUGAUGCUGGUGCUCUCCUGCUGACCUGUGACCUCUCUCCAGGCUCUGGACAUCUCUUGCUGGCACUGGCAUCAAACUGAUGGACUCAUCAGCCCCCAGCAGACCAGAUCAUACGCAUAAAGUACAGAGCAACCUGGUGGAUAGCUGCUUAUAAAAAACAGAUGUUUGAAUUCUUGUUAUUAUUCAUUAUCAGUGUCCAUGCUGAAUGAUAAUAAGAUGGCAUCAGAAAGAUACCUUUUUUUUUUUUUUCUUUUAAUGAGAAAACAUGAAUAGUAAAAUUCAUUCUGUGUACCUUUGGGAAUUUAUAUAGUGCUAAAAUUGAAAUUGUCAAGCCAUCUGUGCUGUUGAAUGUUAUGGUAAACCAAAUGUAGCAAUAGAAAUGGUGCUGUAAAACUCAUACUACCAGUGUCUCCAUCAUAACAUUCUAUUGCACUUACCCCGUGGCCUGACAGUUUUAUAUUGAAAAAUAGAUUUACCAUAGUGUCAGAUCAUGGAAUGAAGAAAUGACAGAAACUUGAUGUGGGAAAUAGAGAACGGGGAAAAAGGAACCAUGAAUAGUAAUUUUAGAAUUCUAGAAAAAGAGUAGAUACAGGCUUGAAAGACCAAAAUUAAGAGGAAUGUUGGCUGGAAUAAACUAACAUUCAGGAUUAGAUGUUAAUUAUUUUUAGCUGAUUUAAAUUACAUGGAAUGGUUUAAAAAUUUGGAAAUUCAUCUCAUCACUCUAACACAGUGAUUAUAUGCCACACACUUCUUGCACUACAUAUACACCAUAAUUGCAAAUAAUAUGGACAAAAAACCAUGAAGCACAAUUAUUCAGAAUUCAGAAUCUAUAAAAGGAAUAACUAGCUGCUAAAAACUGCAUAUUUGUUGGCAGUAGUCACUAGCAAGUUAAACAGUCUAAAGAAUAUAUAGAAUAUUGUAAUUUUAAGUGAAGCAUAGCAAUACAGAUGUCCUUUAUUUCCAGUACUUUUUUUGGAAUGUCAUAGAUGGAUUUUGAGAGACUUGAAAUAAUUCCAUGGUUCACCCUUCUCAGCUGUUUCCCUACAGUGAUGAUAUUUAACAAAGCAUUAUUUCAAGAAGUAAGAUAUUUUAGCUUUUUUAUCACUUGCUUCACUCUCUGACCUUGCCAAUCUGUUUCUUAUUAUAUUAGACCCCACAUUAGGGAAUAAAAGCAGAGAGAUUAAACAUUCUGAAAUUUCAGACUUCAUUAAACAUGUGGUGCUUUAUUCUUUGUGAAAAUAACAAACCUAUCAAAGAGAUCUUAAAAAAACAACUUUGCAAAAUAAACACAGUGGUCGUUUGUGCCCAGGGCACAGGUUUUGACUCCAAAGAAGCAUUAAUUAUCUAUAAGAAUAAAAAAUAUGAUUAAUUUUGUCGUAGUUCUUUCCAUUAGGAUCACAAUUAAUGAAGUUUUAUUGACUAUUAGUGUAAGUGGAAUAGGAGCUAUAUGAAAGCAUACUGACUUUAGCACUAAUUUGUACUAUGUUUAAAAUUUCAUAAAUAUGUUAGAAAUAAAAUUAUCUAAUUCUCAUCACAGUUGGGCACCUUUUGCACUGAUUUUCAGCUUUAACUUCUCCUACAUUGGGUUUUGAUUAACAGAAUGUUGAUCAGAUCAAUUCUGUGAUCAAGACACCCACUUUCCUCCAGGUGAGAGACAGAAAAAAAAAUCCAAAACAAGACCAACAAGGAACCUUCUAAAACCUCCUAAAAAACCCAACCAA